This 253-nucleotide ribosomal RNA is filed under the name uncultured bacterium. RNAcentral describes it as "partial 16S ribosomal RNA". It matches the Rfam family "Bacterial small subunit ribosomal RNA", at positions 524 to 776 of the family's 1533-position model. The record is from RNAcentral.
UACGGAGGAGGCAAGCGUUAUCCGGAAUUAUUGGGCGUAAAGCGUCCGCAGGUGGCGAUUCAAGUCUGCGGUCAAAGACUGGGGCUUAACCCUGGAAAGGCCGUGGAAACUGAAAAGCUAGAGUGCAGUAGGGGUAGAGGGAAUUCCCGGUGUAGCGGUGAAAUGCGCAGAUAUCGGGAAGAACACCCGUGGCGAAGGCGGUUCUCUGGGACGGUACUGACGCUGAGACGCGAAAGCGUGGGGAGCGAACAGG